This 282-nucleotide long non-coding RNA is filed under the name Gossypium barbadense (sea-island cotton). Its description in RNAcentral is "long non-coding RNA (GBAR_LNC006982)". Lineage: Eukaryota; Viridiplantae; Streptophyta; Magnoliopsida; Malvales; Malvaceae. The record is from RNAcentral.
AAACCUGCACCUAAUUUUGAAGAAAAUUAAUUAACCACACGGUCUAGCACACGGGCGUGUGGUAUGACCGUGUGCACAAGUCAGAGAGUUACAUGAGGCAAACAUGGCCUGCAACACGGGCGUGUCCCAGGGUCACAUGGGUGUGUCCUAGGGUCACACGGGUGUGUCCCUUGGACCACACGGGCAUGUCAACCCUGCACCUUGGAAAAAUUUUGUAAUUUCAAGAAAAAUUCUUAGAGCUCUCGAUUAAGUCCUGACUUGAUUCUAGUGCUCGUAUUGGGC